RNAcentral lists this ribosomal RNA (253 nucleotides) under uncultured bacterium. RNAcentral's name for it is "partial 16S ribosomal RNA". It matches the Rfam family "Bacterial small subunit ribosomal RNA", at positions 524 to 776 of the family's 1533-position model. The record is from RNAcentral.
UACGUAGGUGGCAAGCGUUGUCCGGAUUUAUUGGGUUUAAAGGGUGCGUAGGCGGCUUUGUAAGUCAGUGGUGAAAUAUGGCAGCUUAACUGUCAAGGUGCCAUUGAUACUGCGGAGCUUGAGUACAGAUGAGGUAGGCGGAAUUGACGGUGUAGCGGUGAAAUGCUUAGAUAUCUGGAGGAAUACCGGUGGCGAAGGCGGCAUCCUGGACCGACAUUGACGCUGAUGAGCGAAAGCUAGGGGAGCAAACGGG